RNAcentral lists this ribosomal RNA (2639 nucleotides) under Klebsiella pneumoniae. RNAcentral's name for it is "bacterial LSU rRNA". It matches the Rfam family "Bacterial large subunit ribosomal RNA". Lineage: Bacteria; Pseudomonadati; Pseudomonadota; Gammaproteobacteria; Enterobacterales; Enterobacteriaceae. The record is from RNAcentral.
ACUAUCGUUAACUGAAUACAUAGGUUAACGAGGCGAACCGGGGGAACUGAAACAUCUAAGUACCCCGAGGAAAAGAAAUCAACCGAGAUUCCCCCAGUAGCGGCGAGCGAACGGGGAGCAGCCCAGAGUCUGAAUCAGCUUGUGUGUUAGUGGAACGGUCUGGAAAGUCCGACGGUACAGGGUGAUAGUCCCGUACACCAAAAUGCACAGGUUGUGAACUCGAAGAGUAGGGCGGGACACGUGGUAUCCUGUCUGAAUAUGGGGGGACCAUCCUCCAAGGCUAAAUACUCCUGACUGACCGAUAGUGAACCAGUACCGUGAGGGAAAGGCGAAAAGAACCCCGGCGAGGGGAGUGAAAAAGAACCUGAAACCGUGUACGUACAAGCAGUGGGAGCACCUUCGGGUGUGACUGCGUACCUUUUGUAUAAUGGGUCAGCGACUUAUAUUCUGUAGCAAGGUUAACCGUAUAGGGGAGCCGCAGGGAAACCGAGUCUUAACUGGGCGUUAAGUUGCAGGGUAUAGACCCGAAACCCGGUGAUCUAGCCAUGGGCAGGUUGAAGGUUGGGUAACACUAACUGGAGGACCGAACCGACUAAUGUUGAAAAAUUAGCGGAUGACUUGUGGCUGGGGGUGAAAGGCCAAUCAAACCGGGAGAUAGCUGGUUCUCCCCGAAAGCUAUUUAGGUAGCGCCUCGUGAAUUCAUCUUCGGGGGUAGAGCACUGUUUCGGCUAGGGGGUCAUCCCGACUUACCAACCCGAUGCAAACUACGAAUACCGAAGAAUGUUAUCACGGGAGACACACGGCGGGUGCUAACGUCCGUCGUGAAGAGGGAAACAACCCAGACCGCCAGCUAAGGUCCCAAAGUCAUGGUUAAGUGGGAAACGAUGUGGGAAGGCACAGACAGCCAGGAUGUUGGCUUAGAAGCAGCCAUCAUUUAAAGAAAGCGUAAUAGCUCACUGGUCGAGUCGGCCUGCGCGGAAGAUGUAACGGGGCUAAACCAUGCACCGAAGCUGCGGCAGCGACACUAUGUGUUGUUGGGUAGGGGAGCGUUCUGUAAGCCUGCGAAGGUGUGCUGUGAGGCAUGCUGGAGGUAUCAGAAGUGCGAAUGCUGACAUAAGUAACGAUAAAGCGGGUGAAAAGCCCGCUCGCCGGAAGACCAAGGGUUCCUGUCCAACGUUAAUCGGGGCAGGGUGAGUCGACCCCUAAGGCGAGGCCGAAAGGCGUAGUCGAUGGGAAACAGGUUAAUAUUCCUGUACUUGGUGUUACUGCGAAGGGGGGACGGAGAAGGCUAUGUUAGCCGGGCGACGGUUGUCCCGGUUUAAGCAUGUAGGCUGGUUGUCCAGGCAAAUCCGGAUAAUCAAGGCUGAGGUGUGAUGACGAGGCACUACGGUGCUGAAGUAACAAAUGCCCUGCUUCCAGGAAAAGCCUCUAAGCAUCAGGUAACAUCAAAUCGUACCCCAAACCGACACAGGUGGUCAGGUAGAGAAUACCAAGGCGCUUGAGAGAACUCGGGUGAAGGAACUAGGCAAAAUGGUGCCGUAACUUCGGGAGAAGGCACGCUGGUGUGUAGGUGAAGUCCCUGCGGAUGGAGCUGAGACCAGUCGAAGAUACCAGCUGGCUGCAACUGUUUAUUAAAAACACAGCACUGUGCAAACACGAAAGUGGACGUAUACGGUGUGACGCCUGCCCGGUGCCGGAAGGUUAAUUGAUGGGGUUAUCCGUAAGGAGAAGCUCUUGAUCGAAGCCCCGGUAAACGGCGGCCGUAACUAUAACGGUCCUAAGGUAGCGAAAUUCCUUGUCGGGUAAGUUCCGACCUGCACGAAUGGCGUAAUGAUGGCCAGGCUGUCUCCACCCGAGACUCAGUGAAAUUGAACUCGCUGUGAAGAUGCAGUGUACCCGCGGCAAGACGGAAAGACCCCGUGAACCUUUACUAUAGCUUGACACUGAACAUUGAGCCUUGAUGUGUAGGAUAGGUGGGAGGCUUUGAAGCGUGGACGCCAGUCUGCGUGGAGCCAACCUUGAAAUACCACCCUUUAAUGUUUGAUGUUCUAACGUUGGCCCCUGACCGGGGUUGCGGACAGUGUCUGGUGGGUAGUUUGACUGGGGCGGUCUCCUCCCAAAGCGUAACGGAGGAGCACGAAGGUUAGCUAAUCCUGGUCGGACAUCAGGAGGUUAGUGCAAUGGCAUAAGCUAGCUUGACUGCGAGCGUGACGGCGCGAGCAGGUGCGAAAGCAGGUCAUAGUGAUCCGGUGGUUCUGAAUGGAAGGGCCAUCGCUCAACGGAUAAAAGGUACUCCGGGGAUAACAGGCUGAUACCGCCCAAGAGUUCAUAUCGACGGCGGUGUUUGGCACCUCGAUGUCGGCUCAUCACAUCCUGGGGCUGAAGUAGGUCCCAAGGGUAUGGCUGUUCGCCAUUUAAAGUGGUACGCGAGCUGGGUUUAGAACGUCGUGAGACAGUUCGGUCCCUAUCUGCCGUGGGCGCUGGAGAAUUGAGGGGGGCUGCUCCUAGUACGAGAGGACCGGAGUGGACGCAUCACUGGUGUUCGGGUUGUCAUGCCAAUGGCACUGCCCGGUAGCUAAAUGCGGAAGAGAUAAGUGCUGAAAGCAUCUAAGCACGAAACUUGCCCCGAGAUGAGUUCU